Molecule: long non-coding RNA, 407 nt
Filed under: Mytilus galloprovincialis (Mediterranean mussel)
Lineage: Eukaryota; Metazoa; Mollusca; Bivalvia; Mytilida; Mytilidae
Source: RNAcentral
CGCUGAAAUGUAAUAUAUUUAAGAAAUAUUUUAGUGGUAAGUAAGCUAACGUUUAAUUUUAUGGGUGAAACGGAAAGCGGGAGGGGGCCUUAAUGGAUUUGAAAUAACCAGGCUGUGAUCUUUACUUUGAUGAAAAAAUGCAGGAUGUGCCAUUUCAUUUCCCCAUUCCCCCUUUAAACAUUUCGUGAAAAUCGCACGUUUGCUGUCAAAUACAUGAAUUUAAUAUUCAGUGGGGGGAGGGGUGCCGGGGGUUGGAAUCCCUUUUUUUGGACGAUCAAUGCAUGUGAAUGUGGACAAAUAGUGGAAACCCCCUUUUUCCUGGGUUGGGAACCCCUUUCUUAAAAUGACUGGAUCCGCCCCUGAUAGAUUUGAAUUCAACUUAUAAUUAAAUUUAAUAACAAUAUAAA